RNAcentral lists this ribosomal RNA (464 nucleotides) under uncultured bacterium. RNAcentral's name for it is "bacterial SSU rRNA". It matches the Rfam family "Bacterial small subunit ribosomal RNA", at positions 339 to 794 of the family's 1533-position model. The record is from RNAcentral.
AUACGGGAGGCAGCAGUGGGGAAUUUUGCGCAAUGGGGGAAACCCUGACGCAGCAACGCCGCGUGAGUGAUGAAGGCCUUCGGGUCGUAAAGCUCUGUCAGAGGGAAAGAAGUGUAUCGAUGCUAAUACCAUUGGUACUUGACGGUACCCUCAAAGGAAGCACCGGCUAACUCCGUGCCAGCAGCCGCGGUAAUACGGAGGGUGCGAGCGUUGUUCGGAAUUAUUGGGCGUAAAGCGCGUGUAGGCGGUUUUUUAAGUCUGAUGUGAAAGCCCUGGGCUCAACCCGGGAAGUGCAUUGGAAACUGGGAGACUUGAAUACGGGAGAGGGUAGUGGAAUUCCUGGUGUAGGAGUGAAAUCCGUAGAUAUCAGGAGGAACACCGGUGGCGAAGGCGGCUACCUGGACCGAUAUUGACGCUGAGACGCGAAAGCGUGGGGAGCAAACAGGAUUAGAUACCCCGGUAGA